AGAUAUGGAUUUAUCAAACUAAUGUCAUAAAGGGGCAUUAAGCUUGGCAUAUAUGUGGACUUAAUAAAUGUAACAUACCAGAUUUUAAAUAUAAAAGAAAAAAAAUAAAUAAAAAUAAUAUGAGAUACUAUUUUAUUGGAUUUAGAGAAGUGAAAUAUCGGUUGGAAACGACCUGUGCUGAAAUCGGAGCGAAAACAGAAGAUUUAGAAUUUUCUGUGAGAAACAGGGCAGAUAAAUUAGCAGAAAAUGCACAGUCUCAGAAAAUUAUGAAAAUUGGCGAGGAUGUCAAAAAUAUUUUAAUGAGGCUAAAUUUAAAGUUUCAUAUUUUUCUGACACCUGUAGAGUGAGAAAUAAAAUCCGAAAGCCAUCUGAUAAAGAUUGCAGUUCGGUACAGUUUUCAGGGACCAAACGGGGUCGAAACUGAAAUAUUAAAAUUUCUUUGGACUUAUUAAGUAAAACCGAACAUGCCUGUCAAAUUUGAGUUCAAACGGACGUUCAGAAGGGCUCCGGCGAAAAAUAAACUGCCCGAAGUGAAUAGUGCGUAGUUGAGGGGCAAAAUGGUAAAAAGGGUUUAAAACCCCUUUUCUUCUUCUCCUCCCAACCGUGGCUGCCCCAACCCGUGCACACCCACGACACACACCCACACACGCAUGGAAGGAGAAGAGAAAACCCUCUCUUUCUCUCUCUAAAUCUCUCCCAAAAGAGGUGAAAUUGGUGGAGAAGAAGCUUGGAGGGAUCAUCAACACCAUCAUCUUCUUCUUCUUCAUUUUGGAGCAAGCUCUUGGAGGUAAGCUCCUUACCCAUUAAUGGUAGAUCCUUAAUGGUUGGGUUAAAUAGCUUAUAAAUGGAUUUAGAGGAAUCCUAGCAUGCUAUCUAGAUGAAUGAUGCUUCAAUCAUGAAUCAAUUUGGUGAUUUCUUGCAUAGUUGUAACCUAGGGCUCCAAAAUGCUAAUUUUCAAAAUAUGAGGGUUUGAUCUAAUUUGACCCUCCGUAAACAUAAUUGCUAGGUAACGAAACGCGUUGGCGAAGACGGUUCGGCAAUCCGACGAGCCGUUACAAAGUUAUUAAAGAAAUAGACGUUUAGGCUUCGGGUCCGCCGGGAGGGCCGAGGCGACGUCGUAAAAUCAUGAAAAUGGAUUUGAGGCAUCGUGGCACAUAACCGAAGACCUAUAAUUUUCGGGGCUGCAAAGCGGAGCACGGUUGAGGCGCAGUUGCAGUAUCGGGCCGUAACGGAUACGGGUGCCGCGGGAGGCCGAUUGCAAGUGUCGACAAGCAAUCGGAACGCGAAUUAAAGUGGGUUGUGUUUACCGAAGCGACUAGGUCACCUUUAUGUCUAAGAAACUAAGAAUCCAUGUUGAUGCAUAUAAAUGUAAAUGAAGCAUGUAAAUGAUGCAUGUAACUAAAUAAUGCAUGUUGAUAGUAUGAUGUAAAUGCUAAAUAGAAUGCAUUAAGAGCAAGUUACAUAAUGCUAAAUAAUGUAAUGUAGAAAUGCUAGAAUGCAUUAUGAGCAAGUUACAUAAUGCUAAAUAAUGUAAUGUAGAAAUGCUAGAAUGCAUAAUGAGCAAGUUAUAUGAUGCAUGUUUAUAAUAUGAUGUAAAUGCUAAGUAGAUGCAUAUAAAUGAUAUAUGAGAUUAUAAACGCAUGAUUAGCAUUAUGAGAUCAUAGAUGCAUACUUAGCAUUGUGAGAUUAUAUAUGCAUAUGAACUUGGUUGAUAACUCUAGCUUGAUUAGAGAGAUAAUAUUGGAAAAUGAGAAUUGAUAACUCUAGAAUGAGUAGAAUGCUUAAUUGGACAAUUAGUAUGUGAAUUAGAUCGAGUGGCAUCUAACUUAGUGUUAAGGAACAUAGGUCGUGAGUAGACCUAGAAUCAAAUAGAUCGAGUGGCAUCUAACCUAGUGUUAAUAAACAUAGGUCGUGAAAUGAAAAGUACUUAACCUAGAGUCAAGUGAACCUAGGUUGGAAAGAAUAAUGAUCCUAGUGUAAUAACCUAGGUUAAGAAUGUGAAAGCAAUAAACCUAAUGGGUGAACUUAGGUUGAGUAAAGGCUUAAACCUAGAGAGGUCAGUUCCAUAGGGUUAAGACCAACCCCUAUGUGAUGUGAAAUGGAUUCCGGAAUCCCAAGGCUAAAAGGAUACACCCAAAGUGGUGUCGGGUGUGUGCGACGAUUUCGCCGCCCAAGGGCUAAUUAACCAUUGUCGUGGCGUGUGCGACGAUUUCGCCGCCGGAUGGUUAGCCAGUUUGUGGAUCCUACCGCCUGUUGACUGAAUCACUAUCGUGGCGUUUGUGCGACGAUUUCGCCGCCGGGUGGCUAAGUCAUGGACCUAGGCCGUUGUUGGGUGAGGUGCGAUUCGUUCGCCGCCAGACGGCUAGGACAGGAGUACGGUGAGCUGUUGCCAGCUGAGGUGCAUGUGAGAGUUCCUUCACCUCGAGCUAGACAGUGCGCGGACUAUCCGCGAUUGAUUGACUCAAGACCGAGUCGUGUGGCAUAGAGAACUAAGGUAAGAGAAACCUUAGGAAAGAAUGGCCAGUAGAAAAGUGCGACAAAGUGUAAAGAAUAAAGAAUAAGUAAAGAAUAAAGAUCGGCUAAGGAAUAAGAAUAGCUGAUAAGUAAAGAAAAGUUACAAGUAAAGAAUAGCUAAGAGCUAAAAGUAAACAUUAAAUGACAAUAGUAAAGAAUGAUUAAGAAUAUAAGUAACGUUAAAGUAACCUACUUGCAUGAUUACAGGUAUUGCAUAUUGCAUUUCGUGAGGCAUGACAUGUAUUUCAAUUGAAUAUAUAUAUCUGUUGUAUAUUGUUGAACUAACAUGUUGCAGUGCCUCGUUAGACCUGUUGGUUGAGCUGGUUCUCUUGGGUGGCUAAACCCACUGAGGACUAUGGACAAUAGUCUCACCCCCGUGUUGCUGUUUUGGGGGUACAGGUACACACGUGUGCGGCGCGGCAGCGCAAGGCGAGGACGUAGUUCUGCAGAUAGCGCCCUACCCCAGAGACCAGAGCUAGCAGUACCCCGUCUAUAUAGCUUAGGGGUAAAGGAAAUGAAAAGAAUACAAUGUAUCAAACUUGUAGUAAGUAAAUGUUGUAAUAACUUAGAUUGCAUUUGGAUGAAAAGGAAUGAAAACUGUGAUGUAAAAACCAUGAAAGUGAAUGAAUGUAAUAACUUAGGAUGUGUUUAUGUUGUAUGAUACCUUCCACUUGCAAUCUUGAUUGAUAUCUGUUCCUGGUUGGAACCUUCGUGAAUUGUAUUGAUUGCGAUGCCUUGAAUGUACAGGGGAGACUUUGUCCGUAGUACAGGGGAAACCCUGUCCAUUCGGCGAUGUCGGCGGCGCUGGGACCUCGGCCAAAUAGGCGGGUGGUCGCGGGCUGUGACA
This 3361-nucleotide long non-coding RNA is filed under the name Ananas comosus (pineapple). RNAcentral's name for it is "long non-coding RNA (ACOM_LNC044707)". The record is from RNAcentral. Lineage: Eukaryota; Viridiplantae; Streptophyta; Magnoliopsida; Poales; Bromeliaceae.